Molecule: ribosomal RNA, 507 nt
Filed under: uncultured bacterium
Lineage: Bacteria
Description: partial 16S ribosomal RNA
Rfam family: Bacterial small subunit ribosomal RNA
Source: RNAcentral
GACGAACGCUGGCGGCGUGCCUAAUACAUGCAAGUCGAACGCAUUUUCUUUCACCGUAGCUUGCUACACCGAAAGAAAAUGAGUGGCGAACGGGUGAGUAACACGUGGGUAACCUGCCCAUCAGCGGGGGAUAACACUUGGAAACAGGUGCUAAUACCGCAUAAUUCCAUUUACCGCAUUGUAGAUGGGUGAAAGGCGCUUUUGCGCCACUGAUGGAUGGACCCGCGGUGCAUUAGCUAGUUGGUGGGGUAACGGCCUACCAAGGCUGCGAUGCAUAGCCGACCUGAGAGGGUGAUCGGCCACACUGGGACUGAGACACGGCCCAGACUCCUACGGGAGGCAGCAGUAGGGAAUCUUCGGCAAUGGACGCAAGUCUGAACGAGCAACGCCGCGUGAGGGAAGAAGGUUUUCGGAUCGUAAAACUCUGUUGUUAGAGAAGAACAAGGAUGAGAGUGGAAAGUUCAUCCCUUGACGGUAUCUAACCAGAAAGCCACGGCUAACUACGUG